This 515-nucleotide long non-coding RNA is filed under the name Gadus morhua (Atlantic cod). Its description in RNAcentral is "lncRNA (ENSGMOG00000033933.1)". Lineage: Eukaryota; Metazoa; Chordata; Actinopteri; Gadiformes; Gadidae. The record is from RNAcentral.
AAAAACACCCCUCUCUCUACUGACCUCAGGCACGAGUAACGUAGCACCUGGAAGCUAAUGCAGAGACAAGUUUGACAUUGGGUUAUAAAGGCAAUAAGAUAGUGACACACUGUUACGGUGUCCAACAAACAUAAAAUCAGCAGCCUUUGGACUACCCAACAUAAAGGCAGAAGACAGGAUUCUUGGGGAAAACAACGUUUUAUGGUUGACAAUGAUCGUGAGGGAGAACGGGCCGGUCUGGCUGGAAGAGGGCGGUCACUUCCCCUUUAAUAGUCAGAAGAAAACGUUUGGAAUAGCCGCGGGGUCUAAGGGCCUUGAAAAGGGUCCUGGUGGCCUCCUCUACGUGAUGAGGUAGAGAGCAGAUGCGGUGGCAACGGAUUAGUUGGGACUUGAUGAUGGAGCUGAAAGUAUGCCGGGGAUGGUAGCUGGUGUUAAAUAAUAAGGAAUGCCUGUCAGUGUCUUUAAAAUAAACCUUGGUUGCUAAUGUUUUGUGUCCAUCCUUCGUGUCUGUGAAG